Molecule: transfer RNA, 72 nt
Filed under: Candidatus Nealsonbacteria bacterium CG_4_10_14_0_8_um_filter_37_14
Lineage: Bacteria; Candidatus Nealsoniibacteriota
Also listed under: 3 other names
Description: tRNA-Glu
Rfam family: tRNA
About the family: Transfer RNA (tRNA) molecules are approximately 80 nucleotides in length. Their secondary structure includes four short double-helical elements and three loops (D, anti-codon, and T loops).
Source: RNAcentral
GGCCCUAUCGUCUAGCGGUUAGGACAAGGGGCUUUCAAUCCCUAAACCGGGGUUCGACUCCCCGUUGGGCCG